GGGCCCGUGGUCUAGCUGGUUAUGACGUCGCCUUCACACGGCGGAGGUCCUGAGUUCGAAUCUCAGCGAGCCCA
Molecule: transfer RNA, 74 nt
Filed under: Methanomicrobiales archaeon HGW-Methanomicrobiales-4
Lineage: Archaea; Methanobacteriati; Methanobacteriota; Methanomicrobia; Methanomicrobiales
Description: tRNA-Val
Rfam family: tRNA
About the family: Transfer RNA (tRNA) molecules are approximately 80 nucleotides in length. Their secondary structure includes four short double-helical elements and three loops (D, anti-codon, and T loops).
Source: RNAcentral